AUUGAACGCUGGCGGAAUGCUUUACACAUGCAAGUCGAGCGGCAGCGCGGGGGCAACCCUGGCGGCGAGCGGCGAACGGGUGAGUAAUACAUCGGAACGUGUCCUUAAGUGGGGGAUAGCUCGGCGAAAGCCGGAUUAAUACCGCAUAAGCUCUGAGGAGGAAAGCGGGGGCUCCGUAAGGACCUCGCGCUGUUGGAGCGGCCGAUGUCGGAUUAGCUAGUUGGUGGGGUAAAGGCCCACCAAGGCGACGAUCCGUAGCUGGUCUGAGAGGAUGAUCAGCCACACUGGAACUGAGACACGGUCCAGACUCCUACGGGAGGCAGCAGUGGGGAAUUUUGGACAAUGGGGGCAACCCUGAUCCAGCCAUGCCGCGUGAGUGAAGAAGGCCUUAGGGUUGUAAAGCUCUUUCAGCGGGAAGAUAAUGACGUACCGCAGAAGAA
RNAcentral lists this ribosomal RNA (440 nucleotides) under uncultured bacterium. Its description in RNAcentral is "bacterial SSU rRNA". It matches the Rfam family "Bacterial small subunit ribosomal RNA", at positions 29 to 489 of the family's 1533-position model. The record is from RNAcentral.